Molecule: ribosomal RNA, 488 nt
Filed under: Pseudomonas sp.
Lineage: Bacteria; Pseudomonadati; Pseudomonadota; Gammaproteobacteria; Pseudomonadales; Pseudomonadaceae
Description: bacterial SSU rRNA
Rfam family: Bacterial small subunit ribosomal RNA
Source: RNAcentral
GCGAGCGGCGGACGGGUGAGUAAUGCCUAGGAAUCUGCCUGGUAGUGGGGGAUAACGCUCGGAAACGGACGCUAAUACCGCAUACGUCCUACGGGAGAAAGCAGGGGACCUUCGGGCCUUGCGCUAUCAGAUGAGCCUAGGUCGGAUUAGCUAGUUGGUGAGGUAAUGGCUCACCAAGGCGACGAUCCGUAACUGGUCUGAGAGGAUGAUCAGUCACACUGGAACUGAGACACGGUCCAGACUCCUACGGGAGGCAGCAGUGGGGAAUAUUGGACAAUGGGCGAAAGCCUGAUCCAGCCAUGCCGCGUGUGUGAAGAAGGUCUUCGGAUUGUAAAGCACUUUAAGUUGGGAGGAAGGGCAGUUACCUAAUACGUAUCUGUUUUGACGUUACCGACAGAAUAAGCACCGGCUAACUCUGUGCCAGCAGCCGCGGUAAUACAGAGGGUGCAAGCGUUAAUCGGAAUUACUGGGCGUAAAGCGCGCGUAGG